RNAcentral lists this long non-coding RNA (588 nucleotides) under Coturnix japonica (Japanese quail). RNAcentral describes it as "lncRNA (ENSCJPG00005020052.1)". Lineage: Eukaryota; Metazoa; Chordata; Aves; Galliformes; Phasianidae. The record is from RNAcentral.
AAACUUGUUUGACAAGCAAAGAGGAGGAGGGAAAAGACAGGGGAAAAAAAGCUCCACACUUGUGGGAAUAGGUGAAAGCAACAGAGACUGGAGACAAAGAUGAGAAGCGAUCCUUAAUGUGCGAGCAUCUGCCCACCCCGCAGAGGGGAGAAUCAAAAAGCUGUCAGCAUGGAGCAUGGUGCUGAGCAGGAGGUGGUGAGCAGCCCAGGAGAUGGGAAUGCUCCAGGAUGAAUUGGCUCCAGGAAACAGCACCACAAAGUUAGCAGCGUGAAGUGGAUGAUGAUGUGGUGUCAUUCUCAGAAAGUCUUCUGCUGUUGGUAUCUCGUGAUGCAUCUUGACAGUGUGAUGGCAUCCCACAGCUCUCUGUGCAUCUUCAGUAAUGGCCCCAAGCUGACACCGCUCUGUGGGAGUCUAAUACUUCUGAACAAAAGUUUUUUUGGAGUGAGAUAGACAAGGUAGAAAUCCCAAGGUGACUGGAAGGAAUGUCUAAUGACUGGAAAGACAUAUUUACUGGCAGACUGUAUGUAAGCUGUGACAGUUGACAGGGCUUGAUUGUAAUAAAUAUAGUUGAUGAAGAGAAGGGUGACA